This 472-nucleotide ribosomal RNA is filed under the name uncultured bacterium. RNAcentral describes it as "partial 16S ribosomal RNA". It matches the Rfam family "Bacterial small subunit ribosomal RNA", at positions 30 to 507 of the family's 1533-position model. The record is from RNAcentral.
AUUGAACGCUGGCGGCAGGCCUAACACAUGCAAGUCGAGCGGGGACUUCGUUCCUAUCGGCGAACGGGUGAUUAAUGCUUGGUAAUCUGCCCAGUAGUGGGGGAUAACGUCCCUAAAGGUACGCUAAUACCGCUUACGUCCUACGGGAGAAUGAUGUGGAUCUUCUGUCCUCUCCCUCUUUGUUGUGCCCAAGUCGGAUUAGCUAGUUGGUAGGGUAAUGGCCUACCAAGGCGACGAUCCGUAGCUGGUGUGAGAGGAUGAUCAGCAACACUGGAACUGAGACACGGAACAGACGACUACGGGAGGAAGCAGAGGGGAAUAUUGGACAAUGGGCGAAAGCAGGAUAAAGAAAAGCCGAGUGUGUGAAGAAGGCCUAAGGGUUGUAAAGCACGUUAAGGGGGGAGGAAGGUACGCGGAAUAAUACGUAGCGGAAUUGACGUUAACCGAAGAAUAAGCACCGGCUAACUAUGUG